UACGUAGGGGGCAAGCGUUAUCCGGAUUCAUUGGGCGUAAAGCGCGCGUAGGCGGCUUGUUAAGCGAGAUGUGAAAACCGGGGGCUUAACCCGCGGCCUGCAUCUCGAACUGGCAGGCUUGAGUUUGGUAGAGGAGUGUGGAAUUCCCAGUGUAGCGGUGAAAUGCGCAGAUAUUGGGAGGAACACCAGUGGCGAAGGCGGCACUCUGGGCCAUAACUGACGCUGAGGCGCGAAAGCUAGGGGAGCGAACAGG
RNAcentral lists this ribosomal RNA (253 nucleotides) under uncultured bacterium. Its description in RNAcentral is "partial 16S ribosomal RNA". It matches the Rfam family "Bacterial small subunit ribosomal RNA", at positions 524 to 776 of the family's 1533-position model. The record is from RNAcentral.